Molecule: ribosomal RNA, 460 nt
Filed under: uncultured bacterium
Lineage: Bacteria
Description: partial 16S ribosomal RNA
Rfam family: Bacterial small subunit ribosomal RNA
Source: RNAcentral
CCUACGUGUGGCAGCAGUGAGGAAUAUUGGUCAAUGGGCGUAAGCCUGAACCAGCCAAGUCGCGUGAGGGAUGAAGGUUCCAUGGAUUGUAAACCUCUUUUAUAAGGGGAUAAAGUGUGGGUCGUGUCCUAUUCUGUAUGUACCUUAUGAAUAAGCAUCGGCUAACUCCUUGCCAGCAGCCGCGGUAAUACGGAGGAUCGGAGCGUUAUCCGGAUUUAUUGGGUUUAAAGGGUGCGUAGGCGGCCUUUUAAGUCAGCGGUGAAAGUCUGUGGCUCAACCAUAGAAUUGCCGUUGAAACUGGCGGGCUUGAGUAUGUGUGAGGCAGGCGGAAUGCGUGGUGUAGCGGUGAAAUGCUUAGAUAUCACGCAGAACCCCGAUUGCGAAGGCAGCCUGCCAGGGCAUGACUGACGCUGAGGCACGAAAGCGUGGGGAUCGAACAGGAUUAGAUACCCUAGUAGUC